Macaca mulatta (Rhesus monkey) is the source of this 261-nucleotide non-coding RNA. NCBI's taxonomy places the organism in Eukaryota, Metazoa, Chordata, Mammalia, Primates, Cercopithecidae. The record is from RefSeq and is a predicted model, not a curated record.
CAAGGCUUUGACUGGAAUGGCAUGUUUUCUUUUAAGGAAUCAAACUUGUCUUGUAAAGCUAAUAAAAGCCCCUUGGGGAAUUGACCUCAGACCUUGUCUACAACAGCCACUGUACAGGGUUUCUGACCUGUGACUACUAUGCAGCAGAAGAAAACUAUGCCUGAAAUAUCUACAGGGAAAAUUCUGUGUAUUCAUGUUUAAGGAACCACUUUUGUUCCUCAAGUAACCAGAAUGAGUAAUAAAAAUCAAGCAUGAGUAGUA